Non-coding RNA from Nomascus leucogenys (northern white-cheeked gibbon), 297 nucleotides. It matches the Rfam family "Metazoan signal recognition particle RNA". From Rfam's summary of the family: The signal recognition particle (SRP) is a universally conserved ribonucleoprotein. NCBI's taxonomy places the organism in Eukaryota, Metazoa, Chordata, Mammalia, Primates, Hylobatidae. The record is from Rfam.
GCUGGGUGUAGUGGUCUGCUUGUAGUUCCAGCUACUUGGGAGGCUGAGGGAGGAGGAUCACUUGAGUCCAGGAAUUCUGGGUUGUAGUGUGCUAUGCCUAUCAGUUGUCUGCACUAAGUUUGUCAUCAAUUUCAUGGCCUCCCGGGAGUAGGAGACCACCAGGUUCUCUAAGGAGAGGUGAACCAACCCAAGUUGGAAAUGGAGCAGGUCAAAACUGCCAUACUGGUCAGUAGUGGGAUCUCACCUGUAAAUAGCUACUGCAUCCAGCCUGGGCAACGUAGUGAGAUCCUAUCUCUA